AUUGAACGCUGGCGGCAGGCCUAACACAUGCAAGUCGAGCGGAUGAAGGGAGCUUGCUCCUGGAUUCAGCGGCGGACGGGUGAGUAAUGCCUAGGAAUCUGCCUGGUAGUGGGGGAUAACGUCCGGAAACGGGCGCUAAUACCGCAUACGUCCUGAGGGAGAAAGUGGGGGAUCUUCGGACCUCACGCUAUCAGAUGAGCCUAGGUCGGAUUAGCUAGUUGGUGGGGUAAAGGCCUACCAAGGCGACGAUCCGUAACUGGUCUGAGAGGAUGAUCAGUCACACUAGAAGUUGACCAGGGACCUGGCGACUGCGAGACGGCGCAGUCUGGAAUAUUGGGCAACAGUCGAAAGUCUUACACAGCGGGGGGGCGUGUGUGGAGAAGAUGUUGGGAGUGGGAAGAACUUCUUCUUGGGGGGAAGGGCUGUAGGCUAAUACGAAGCGGUUGUGACGGUACCGGCAAAAGAAGCACCGGCUAACUUCGUG
Molecule: ribosomal RNA, 484 nt
Filed under: uncultured bacterium
Lineage: Bacteria
Description: partial 16S ribosomal RNA
Rfam family: Bacterial small subunit ribosomal RNA
Source: RNAcentral